CGGGCGGGGCCAUGUUGGGGACGGGCACGGAGCGGCUCUGCUGGGCGGGCGGCGGCUCCGUACGGGAGAGGGGCGCGGGCUGUCCCCGGCACUGUUACUAAUGCUACAGUGAAACUGGAGCAGAAAGAGGUUCAGUGGCACCUCCUUCAAAGCAAAGAAAAAGUUCCAAUGGAAGUGAAUCUUCCAGAAUUUCAAAUCCUGGCUGUGUAUUCACUGUGACUCUUCCCCUGGUUGGUGUGAACCUUCAGGAUACCUCACAGAACAGCCAAGAACAUAAAUGCACCCAUGGGUUGGACUGAUGGCCCUUUUAGCCCUGUCAUCACUCUCUGAUUUGCACAGGAGUUAAUCUGAAUUUCCAGAGUUCAAGUUUGGCAUCUCCAGCAGCAACUUCUUUUUUGUCAGGUCACAUGUCAGGAUAUGAAUUACAAAACUUAAUUACAAGUUGUACUCUGCUGUCCUUUCUACCAAUUUUAAGGCAAGUGAAACAUCUCAAAACCACAGCUGUAGAACUCUAGAUUUCCAACCAGGUGUCUGUAGCUGUGGUUUUGAGUCGACUUGAUUAUCUUUAUUUCUCAUUCAGCUUUCUGUUUCCACCUUUUUUAAAACAUCCAUUUACAAAGGAGCUUU
Neopelma chrysocephalum (saffron-crested tyrant-manakin) is the source of this 627-nucleotide long non-coding RNA. RefSeq lists it as uncharacterized. The record is from RefSeq and is a predicted model, not a curated record. The transcript has 2 exons. Lineage: Eukaryota; Metazoa; Chordata; Aves; Passeriformes; Pipridae.